RNAcentral lists this ribosomal RNA (390 nucleotides) under Maladera cambodjana. RNAcentral describes it as "partial 16S large subunit ribosomal RNA". Lineage: Eukaryota; Metazoa; Arthropoda; Insecta; Coleoptera; Scarabaeidae. The record is from RNAcentral.
CGCGGUACUUUGACCGUGCAAAGGUAGCAUAAUAAUUAGUUUUUUAAUUGAAAGCUGGAAUGAAUGAUUGGACGAGAAAAUUACUGUCUCAAUUUAAUUUUAUUAGAAUUUUAUUUUUAAGUAAAAAAGCUUAAAUUAUAUUAAAAGACGAGAAGACCCUAUAGAGUUUUAUAUUUAAUUUAUUGUUAAUUUUUUAGUAUAUUUUUAUUAUUAUUAAAUUAAAUAUUUUAUUGGGGUGAUAGAAAAAUAUUAUAAACUUUUUUUUUAAAAAAAACAUUAAUUUAUGAUUUUAUGAUCCAUUAUUUAUGAUUAGAAGAAUUAGUUACCUUAGGGAUAACAGCGUAAUUUUUUUUUAGAGUUCUUAUCGAAAAAUAAGAUUGCGACCUCGAU